CAAAGUCAUUACAUUGUCUUAAUUCAUCCCAAUGGUCUCUAACAAUUAUGACGAGAACAAACAUUUGUAAUUCUGCGUGUUCCAUUCUGGCUCUACUCUUUAUCAUAGUAUAUCUCUUUUUAUUAUCGAUUAGGCCAUUGAUGUUUUGAAGACUAAACGAUAAGUUGAUUAUUGUAAACUAACUUGUUUAAAUAACUACAACACAUGUCAAUCCUGACACGAAAGCAAUUGUGUUAAAUAUUGAGUGAUAACCUCUAAAUGACGCGUUGUUGAUACAGUUGUUUCACAAAACAACAUUUUUUAAGGGAGAUCUUUUGUUUUGUUUACCUACUUGCUUCCGUUGAGACAUAACUUGGGAAUGUUAGUAGCUUACCAGUAUUAAUACACAUGGAUAGCUGCUAAAUUAAAUAUUGAGAAAGACCCUAACUGAAGGAAAAGGUGGUACAUAAUAAAAGUAUAAGUUUG
This 465-nucleotide long non-coding RNA is filed under the name Mytilus galloprovincialis (Mediterranean mussel). Lineage: Eukaryota; Metazoa; Mollusca; Bivalvia; Mytilida; Mytilidae. The record is from RNAcentral.